GAUGAAGAACGUAGCGAAAUGCGAUAAGUAAUGUGAAUUGCAGAAUUCAGUGAACCAUCGAAUCUUUGAACGCACAUUGCGCCCGGCAGUAAUCUGCCGGGCAUGCCUGUCCGAGCGUCAUUUCUGCCCUCGAGCGAGUCCAGCAUCUAGGUGCUGGGCCCGCCCGGCGUUGGGGCACUACGGGAAGCCCUGUGCUGUCCCCCGUAGGCCCCGAAAUGAAGUGGCGGUCCUGCCGCGGCGCCCCCUGCGUAGUAUAACAGCUCGCUUCGGGACCCGGUGGAGGCCUGCCGUCAAACCUUACUCUCUAAGUUUGACCUCGGAUCAGGUAGGGUUACCCGCUGAACUUAAGCAUAUCAAUAAGGGAGGA
RNAcentral lists this unclassified non-coding RNA (367 nucleotides) under soil metagenome. RNAcentral's name for it is "partial contains 5.8S ribosomal RNA, internal transcribed spacer 2, and large subunit ribosomal RNA". The stretch from base 1 to 120 matches the Rfam family "5.8S ribosomal RNA", at positions 35 to 154 of the family's 154-position model. The record is from RNAcentral.